Molecule: unclassified non-coding RNA, 912 nt
Filed under: Hevea brasiliensis (rubber tree)
Lineage: Eukaryota; Viridiplantae; Streptophyta; Magnoliopsida; Malpighiales; Euphorbiaceae
Source: RNAcentral
AGACUUUGGUACCAACAUCGCUAUAUCAUGCUCACGAUAUUGUUCACUUGGUGAUUCCAACUAGAGAUUAUCUGUUUGCUCCCUCAUUUGCAGAUAUAUGCCGAGCAGUAAAUUUCAUUCAUGAAAAUGCCUCCCAUGGAAAGACAACAUAUGUUCACUGUAAGGCCGGCAGGGGGCGCAGUACAACAAUUGUGCUCUGUUACCUUGUACAACACAGGCACAUGACUCCCGACACUGCAUAUGAAUACGUAAGGUCUAUUCGGUCGAGAGUUCUUUUGGCUUCUUCCCAGUGGCAGGCUGUUCAAGAUUACUAUCUUCUCAAGGUGAAGGAAACUGGCAGCAUCAUAGCAAGGAAAAGUAUAGAUUUUCUAACUCGGGAGGAGGCCAAACAGGGCACAGAAGCCUCUGAUGAUAGCACAUUUGUGGUGGUAACAGAUUCAGAUCUUGAUGGAUAUGAUGUUGGUUGUGAAACAGUUGUAGUGAAUGACAAGAUGUUGGGAGAACUUAGCCUGGCCUGCAGGGUUCAAUUUGCCAGUCAGGCAGCUAUUUCCAGAAUUUCAUGCCUGUGGCUUGGGUGCAUUGCAAACCAUAAACCCUCUAAUAAAAAACAUGGAAGUUCUCUCAGCAAUGAUCAAUUGAGAAGCCUAACUGUUGACAUCCGAGUUUAUUGAGACAUCAAAAUCUACUGGGUGUUACUUCUAGGAUUGGGUUUUGUUUUGUUAUGUUUUGUUUUUGCUUCCCCUUUUUCUGGUAAACACUAGGAAAAGUGAAUAUUUUAAGAGACUAAUUUCUUUCUUUUUUUCCUCUUUAUUGUGAUUUUGCUGGUUUGGAUAAGUGUAACUGGGGCUAUGAAGGAGAUUGUAGCAUCCCUUUGUUGUUGUGAAGAUGCUUGUAAUGAAGCAGCAAAGAUUU